UCCAUCUGGCUGAUAAAGCUUAAUUGCUUCAUGGCUGUUUUUUAGGCAUCUUUUGCUGGAGCUGUCACAUGAUUGUUGCUUUUUACCUCCCUAGUAGCAAAGUCCAUAUCAUCAUGAAUGAUUUGUGCAUGGGCUGUGCAACAUAGCUUUGUUGCUACUAGCAUGAUUUGAUAUGCCUUUCAUGAUUUGAUCCGAUAAUAUCUCUGGGCUGAGGUCAGUAAGGAGUCAUGCUGGCCUCAUGUUUUGUACUGGGGAUGCAUUUUAAUCAAGUUGUCAGAUGUGCGAGAGGUUUACUGUGCAAAUGCACAAUUGUGCUUGCAUUCUGUCACCAAUGGGAACCUUUAUUGUCUCCAUACUGUCUGGUGUUGCAGUAAAUACAAUGCAAAAACAAUGAGAUUUUUUUUUUGUGUUCUUACAUGCAUGGCCCACAUAACAUUGUAGAGAUGCAGAUGGAUCUCAGAAGGUAGUUGCAUUGGCACUGAGCGCAUGCAAGAUAUUCACUUUUUUGUUUACUGAACGCAGAUCUCAUUGUUAUUUGUGAUCGUUUUUUAAUAUUUCAUUCUUCACAUUUUCUCAUUGACUUUUUAUCAUGUUCAAGUGUUGAAGUUAAAGCAGGUGAACCUGUUAAGUGCCAGCCUGGAGAGAAUAAAUAUAUACAUCUUUCACAGGCGGCACUUGGUGAGGUGAAAAAGGACAAAGGCAAUGACUCCAUCCCAAUCUUUGUGAGUGUCGGUGAUAAGAAGCUAGUCCUUAGAACUCUUUCUGCAGAAAAGAGUGCUCAUAUUUCUUUUUGAUUUAAUUUUUGAAAGAGAAUUCGAACUAUCUCACAGCUGGAAGCAUGGGAGUGUCUACUUUUGUGGUUACAAGAGCACAGUUCCAAAAGAAUAUCCUUUACAGCCUUUUGCUUGCAUGUUGUUGGCGGCUGAAAGAAUUACAUGUUACUUUGACGGAUAUUCUUUUUUAUCUUUUAUUUCCUUGACUGUGUGUUUGUCUGAUUGUCACAUCUGACGAGUUCACUAAUUCGGAUUCUGAUUCUGAAGAGGAGAUUCCCGUUCUCGUAAGGGAAAAUGGAAAGCCCGUGGUUAAGGAUGAGCAGGCCAUGCCUGCUACUGAGAAGGUUAAGGUUGCUGCUAAACCUGAAUCCUCGAUUGCUAAGCCCAAGGUUCAAAUAGCGGAACCUAGUAAGGGUAAGGAGGAAGAUGAAGAUGAUGAUGAUUCUGACGAUGAUGAAGAUGAAUCAUCAGAAGAUGAAUCUGAUGACGAUGAGGUACUUUUUAUUCUCUCAAGGAGUAUUAUCAUUUUUGGCUAGGAAAAUAAAAAAUUCUCACCCCUCGUUGUGUUAAUUAAAUUUUCUUCCUUUUCCUUUUAGUUGAAGGUAGUAUCAAAUUAUCAGUUUAAUGCUAAUUUGAUAGUCUUUAUUUAUUUAUUUUUGUGA
Magnolia sinica is the source of this 1435-nucleotide long non-coding RNA. RefSeq lists it as uncharacterized. Lineage: Eukaryota; Viridiplantae; Streptophyta; Magnoliopsida; Magnoliales; Magnoliaceae. The transcript has 4 exons. The record is from RefSeq and is a predicted model, not a curated record.